GUAACGGGGUGUUAGGGCACGACACCGGAGAGGGAGCCUGAGAAACGGCUACCACACCCAAGGAUGGCAGCAGGCGCGCAAAUUACCCAAUCCCGACACGGGGAGGUAGUGACAAUAAAUAACAAUACGGGGUCCUUUCGGGUUUCGUAAUUGGAAUGAGUACAAUUUAAAUCUCUUAACGAGGAACAAUUGGAGGGCAAGUCUGGUGCCAGCAGCCGCGGUAAUUCCAGCUCCAAUAGCGUAUAUUAAAGUUGUUGCAGUUAAAAAGCUCGUAGUUGAAUUUCAGGCCUGGCUGGACGGUCCGCCCUUCGGGUGAGUACUGUCUGUGGUCGGGUCCUACCUUCUGGCGAAGCGUCAUGGCCUUAACCGGCCGUGGCGGGGAACCAGGACUUUUACUGUGAAAAAAUUAGAGUGUUCAAAGCAGGCAAUCGCUUGGAUACAUUAGCAUGGAAUAAUGGAAUAGGACAAUGGUUCUAUUUGUUGGUUUCUAGGACCGUUGUAAUGAUUAAUAGGGAUAGUUGGGGGCAUUAGUAUUCAAUUGUCAGAGGUGAAAUUCUUGGAUUUAUUGAAGACUAACUACUGCGAAAGCAUUUGCCAAGGAUGUUUUCAUUAAUCAAGAACGAAAGUUAGGGGAUCGAAGACGAUCAGAUACC
Molecule: ribosomal RNA, 653 nt
Filed under: Glomeromycotina sp. AB-2014
Lineage: Eukaryota; Fungi; Glomeromycota
Description: SSU rRNA
Rfam family: Eukaryotic small subunit ribosomal RNA
Source: RNAcentral